AGGACGAACGCUGGCGGCGUGCUUAACACAUGCAAGUCAAGGGGGCCCCGCAAGGGGCAACCGGCGAACGGGUGCGUAACACGUGAGCGACCUGCCGAUCCGAGGGGGAUAGCCGGCCCAACGGCCGGGUAAUACCGCAUACGCUCGUUUUUUCUCAUGGAGAGACGAGGAAACUUCCGGGGCGGAUCGAGGAGCUCGCGGCCUAUCAGCUAGUUGGGGGGUAACGCCUCCCAAGGCGACGACGGGUAGCUGG
This 253-nucleotide ribosomal RNA is filed under the name uncultured soil bacterium. RNAcentral describes it as "partial 16S ribosomal RNA". It matches the Rfam family "Bacterial small subunit ribosomal RNA", at positions 26 to 290 of the family's 1533-position model. The record is from RNAcentral.